RNAcentral lists this ribosomal RNA (438 nucleotides) under uncultured organism. RNAcentral's name for it is "bacterial SSU rRNA". It matches the Rfam family "Bacterial small subunit ribosomal RNA", at positions 346 to 794 of the family's 1533-position model. The record is from RNAcentral.
GCGCAGCAGGCGCGAAUCUUCCGCAAUGGGCGAAAGCCUGACGGAGCGACGCCGCGUGAUUGAUGAAGUCCUUCGGGACGUAAAGAUCUUUUAUGCGUGAGAAAGUUAUUGAUAGUAGCGCAUGAAUAAGGGGCUCCUAACUCUGUGCCAGCAGGAGCGGUAAUACAGAGGCCCCAAGCAUUAUCCGGAAUCACUGGGGCGUAAAGGGUGUGUAGGCGGUCGUGUUAGUCUUUCGUGAAAGAUCCUUGGGCUUAACCCAGGAGACGCGGGGGAAACGGCACGACUUAGAGGAUAUGAGAGGUAAAGGGAACUCAUGGUGUAGGGGUGAAAUCCGUUGAUAUCAUGGGGAACACCAAAUGCGAAGGCACUUUACUGGCAUACUCCUGACGCUGAAACACGAAAGCGUGGGAAUCGAAUGGGAUUAGAUACCCGCGUAGU